RNAcentral lists this transfer RNA (76 nucleotides) under Neogoniolithon spectabile. Its description in RNAcentral is "tRNA-Asn". It matches the Rfam family "tRNA". Rfam says of the family: Transfer RNA (tRNA) molecules are approximately 80 nucleotides in length. Their secondary structure includes four short double-helical elements and three loops (D, anti-codon, and T loops). Lineage: Eukaryota; Rhodophyta; Florideophyceae; Corallinales; Spongitidaceae. The record is from RNAcentral.
UUUCCUGAUAGCUUAAUAGGUUAAAGCAAAUGGCUGUUAACCAUUAGAUUACAGGUUCGAAUCCUGUUCAGGAAGA